UGGACCAAUGGUAACAACUGGUGGCGUUUGAGUCACGGACGAUGAAUAAUUCGUGUCUGAAACUCUGAGGUCCAA
Small nucleolar RNA from Prolemur simus (greater bamboo lemur), 75 nucleotides. Ensembl annotates it as small nucleolar RNA, C/D box 114-17. Its record names the gene SNORD114-17. NCBI's taxonomy places the organism in Eukaryota, Metazoa, Chordata, Mammalia, Primates, Lemuridae. The record is from Ensembl.